GACGAACGCUGGCGGCGUGCUUAACACAUGCAAGUCGAGCGGUAAGGCCCUUUCGGGGGUACACGAGCGGCGAACGGGUGAGUAACACGUGGGUGACCUGCCCUCAGCUCUGGGAUAAGCCUGGGAAACCGGGUCUAAUACUGGAUAUGACUCCAUGACGCAUGUUGUGGGGUGGAAAGCCUUGUGCGGCUGAGGAUGGGCCCGCGGCCUAUCAGCUUGUUGGUGGGGUGAUGCCUACCAAGGCGACGACGGGUAGCCGGCCUGAGAGGGCGACCGGCCACACUGGGACUGAGACACGGCCCAGACUCCUACGGGAGGCAGCAGUGGGGAAUCUUGCGCAAUGGGCGAAAGCCUGACGCAGCGACGCCGCGUGAGGGAUGACGG
RNAcentral lists this ribosomal RNA (384 nucleotides) under uncultured bacterium. RNAcentral describes it as "bacterial SSU rRNA". It matches the Rfam family "Bacterial small subunit ribosomal RNA", at positions 28 to 414 of the family's 1533-position model. The record is from RNAcentral.